RNAcentral lists this ribosomal RNA (463 nucleotides) under uncultured bacterium. RNAcentral describes it as "partial 16S ribosomal RNA". It matches the Rfam family "Bacterial small subunit ribosomal RNA", at positions 28 to 507 of the family's 1533-position model. The record is from RNAcentral.
GAUGAACGCUGACAGAAUGCUUAACACAUGCAAGUCUUUGGCGAAGCUGUGCUUGCACAGCCUAGCCAAGGCGGACGGGUGAGUAACGCGUAGGGAACUUGCCCUGCAGUCAGGGAUAACAGACGGAAACGACUGAUGAGACCUGGUAAAGUCAGGCGGACUCAUGUCCAGCCUGAUGAAAAGAGAUGCUGCAGGAGAGCCUUGCGUCCUAUUAGCUUGUUGGUGGGGUAACGGCCCACCAAGGCGAUGAUAGGUAGCCGGCCUGAGAGGGUGGACGGCCACAAGGGGACUGAGAUACGGCCCUUACUCCUACGGGAGGCAGCAGUGGGGAAUAUUGGACAAUGGGGGCAACCCUGAUCCAGCAAUUCUGUGUGCACGAUGAAGGUUUUCGGAUUGUAAAGUGCUUUCAGCAGGGAGGAAAAAAAUGACGGUACCUGCAGAAGAAGCGACGGCUAAAUACGUG